GCGUUCGAUAGUGAAACCAGGGUGUUCUCAAGAUGUUCUAAAAGCUGCUUUGAGUGCUAUGGCUUCUGUGACUGAUAUUCUGUCCGUGAUAUCCUCACCUUCAAGCGGGAGCACUCCCUACUAAUUAUUCUCACGUCCUUCCUUCGAACUCUUGCACACUAAAUUGGGAUUUUACAGAAUCUGUUCAUCUCUUUUCUUGUUUUGCUUGCGAUUCUUAUGUAGGAUUAAGGAUUAGACUAUGGUAAUAAACUUAAUUUUGUUUCUGUAAUUUUGUCGUCGAAAUAAUGUUUGAGAAUUGCCUCUGUGAUGUAACGCAAAGAUUUUUGUCUAAGCUGUGAAGAUAAUGAAUUAUGGUUUAGAAGGGAGGAUUACUGUCUCAUAUUAGUUAUUACCUCUAUUAUCUCCUGCAUUUCUUCGAGUGAAGAUAUUUUUGCUUGUAAAACAAAUUUUGUCAUCCACAGUAGAACCAGAUUAAAUAAUACGAAAACCCAGUGUGGCCUGUUCGUUCCCACUUGUAGAGUUAGGGAUAAUAUAACUAAAGUUACUGAUUUAUGAAUAAAGCUAUUCGAACGGGGAUCAAAAACAGAGUUUGGUGACGGGACCUGUCUGGUCGUUAUUUAUUUAUUUAUUUAUUUCUAGUUGUUCAACAAAAAAAUAACACUUGUCCCUCUCUUUUUAAUUCUGUCAUUGACCUACGAACUAAUCUCAAAAAUACCUUGUUCGAUCAUUGGAGAGCUGUGUUACAUUGUUCGUGAGGAUGACUACGGGGCUGAUACAAUACACACACAUGAAGGUCGAGGUUAUUUUAUUCAUGGAGAACCUACGCUAAGCAUGUGAAAGCACGAUCACCCUCGCGGGUCUUUGACAUUUUUCAUUAUUGGAUCAAACUAGUUGAGUUGGCGCGAGAAUAUAAAUAGAUAAACAAAUGAAAGUCAAAGUAAACCUGUCUUUCAAAAAAAAAACUUAUAAAAACAUAAUCAUUUUCCAUUAAAAAAUUGCCCAACUUUAAUUAAUUAAGUCACCUCCCGGGUCGUUGGCAUUUUCCAUCUUUGGAUCAAACUAGUUGAGUUGGCACGGAAAUAUAAAUAGAUAAACAAAUGAGUGUCAUUUUUAAUAAGAGUCAAGUAGGCAAGACUUUAAAACAAAAAACUUAAAAAAAAUAUAAUCAUUUUCCAUUAAAAAAUUGCCAAACUUAAAUUAAUCAGAUGCCUUGAGCCGGCCCUGUAGAUGCUUAUUUUGCAUCCGCACAAAAAGAAGAAUUGUGUUUAUUCGGUUUUUGUCCUGUUUCUGGUGGAUUAUUAACCAUUGUAAGGAACAAUUACAUUUACAAUAUAAAAGAAUGCCAAAAGAAUUUCGAAUUCAACAAGAAAUUCGGUGCCCAACACCCACAUUGACUUAAAUUUCAGCUAUAUUCAAUCACGUGAAAUUUCAUCCUUCGAACUAAGUUAUUGCUUUCCAGGAAAAUUUUCAGGCAGAAGAUUUAAUUCAGAGAUGGAGAAAGGCAACGUUCAUGUAGUGGUUCUUGCAUAUCAUGGACAAGGUCACAUAAACCCCAUGAUUCAAUUUUCCAAAAGACUGGCUGCUAAAGGAAUCCAUGUUACGGUAGCAACCACUUUGAGUAAUACCAAGGCUAUCCAAUCUGCAUCGAGCUCAAUCGUGUUCGAAUCGAUAUAUGACGAUUGUGCUGAAGGAGGGGUGGGGGGACCAGGAGGAUUUAGAGGAUUUCUCGAUAGAUUUGAAGCCAGUGGCACAAGAAACUUGACUCAACUCAUCAGAGACUCUGAAAGACCUGUGAAAUGUCUCGUUUACGAUGCCAACAUAACGUGGGCUUCGAGCGUGGCAAGCCAAAUGGGAGUUGAUCGGGCUGCCUUUUUUACUCAAUCGUGUGCUGCGAUUGCUAGUUACUAUCCGAUGCACUGCGAAUUAUCGGAAGUGACUCCAUCAGUUCCUGCUUUCUCCCUGCCUGGAUUACCUGAGAUUGGACUUCCGAAUCUGCCUUCACUUGGUCCUGAUACCGGACGAUAUCCUCCAAUAAUCCGAUACUUAUUACAACAAUUUGACAAUAGUGAAAAAGCAGAUUGGGUUCUUUUCAACUCCUUCGACAAGUUGGAAGAGGACGUAAGCAUAAUUUACUUGAUUAUGCACAAAUUUAAUGAUGUCAAUAUUUUUAAACAUUCAUGUAACUUACUUGAAUAAGCCUUGUCGAAUGUAGGUCGUCAGUUGGAUGUCAAAACUCUGGCCUGUGAGAACCAUUGGACCAACUUUGCCUUCUAUUUAUCUAGACAACCGGGUGGAAGGCGACGAUGACUAUGGUUUCAACAUGCAUAAGCCGAACACGGACACCUGCAUGAAAUGGCUUGACUCCAAGGAAACCGGAUCAGUCGUCUACAUCUCGUUUGGGAGCAAUGCAAAUUUGAAUACAGAGCAAACAGUAGAAUUAGCCGCGGCCCUUAAGCAGAGCAACAAUAGCUUCUUGUGGGUAGUGCAGCCAAGUGAAGAAAGUAAACUUCCGACUAAUUUUCACGACGAAAACUCAGGUAAAGGAUUGGUAGUGAAAUGGUGCCCUCAAUUGGAAGUUCUGGCACAUCAUGCAGUUGGAUGUUUCAUAUCACACUGCGGUUGGAAUUCGACUAUGGAGGCAAUAAGCCUUGGGGUGCCUAUGGUAGCAAUGCCUCAGAUUCUUGACCAGAUGACAAAUGCACAUUUUGUCGAGUAUGUUUGGCAGGUCGGAACGAUGCCUAAGUCGGACGAGAAGGGUGUUACACGAAGAGACGAAAUAAAGAGAUGCAUCAAUGAAAUUAUGGAAGGAGAAAGAGGACAAGAGAUUAGAAAGAAUGCCAUUCGUUGGAAAGUGCUGGCUAAGGAGGCUAUAGAUGAAGGAGGAAGUUCUGACAGCUACAUAGAUGAAAUUAUUUCUCAUCUUAUGGUAGCAUAACAGUAGAUUUGAUGCAAAAUUCUGCUUUUUUAAAGUAUAAAUAACUUAUUUUCAGGAUCAUGAUUAUUCUCAGCUUUGAUAUGCAUAGAAUAAAUCUCCUUGCAGAAUAUUAGGUAAAAAUUGCAGCUUUUUAAGCAAAUCGUAAAUUGAUUUCGGGAUUCUGAUUUUGUAUAGAACAAAUUGCAUGCAGAAUACUAAUACUCCCACCAUUGCAACUAUUUUGGUUAAAUUACGUUCACUUCAGUGUCAAUCCGGUCCCUAUAUAUGAUGACUAUUCAAGCAAGAAUUUCAACAACUUAUACUGUUUGAUAUUGGAAAUUAUCUUUACCAAGCUUCUCUCUUCACUCUUUCUAAUAAAUGAAGAUGGCUUUUCUGCCUAACAUUGACUACAAGUAAAGGGAUACAGAUGGAGAUGAACAGAAUUUUGAGUCUUCACAUCGAUUGAUAUGUCAAGCAGUAAGUUUAAAAGGAAGAUACCAGCUUCAAUAGGUGAUCUUAAACCACUUCACCUUCUCAACUUAUCGUCUAAUACCUUCAUUGAAACAAUCCAACCAUCAGAUGGUACUCUUCUUCAUCUUCCUUAUUUUAAGUCGACUUCUUCCAUCCAUGUGGGAAAUUGUUGAAAUUUACGAAUUAGUCAACGAUUAAAAUUUGGAAAAGUCUCCAAUGUGUGAGGUGACCAGAUGCGACUUUUUAAAUGCAAAUGAUGGAUAUUGAAGAAUAGUGAGCUUUUUGAUUGGGUGCGACUAUUGAAACGGUUGCAUAAUGAAUAGUCAAGAACCUUUUUGUAUAGGAAGCGAUUUAGGUAAAAUGUGUGAAUGGGACAUGUCUCCAUUGGGUGUAGUGACUAGACGCGAGUUUUCAAAUACAAAUGGUGUAUAUUGAAGAGUUGUGAUUAUUCGAGUGAAGUGUAACUAUCCAAAUAGUUGCAUAAUGAAUAUUCAUGAACCUUUGUAUGGGGUGUGAUUUAUAUCGUCAAAUCAUGUCCUAAUUUGAAAUAUUAAAAUGAUAUUGUGCCAAAAGAUGUGAUAACUAGGAAAAGACACGUUAAAAUCUAUAAAUUAGACCUCAUAAUUUCAUUUUCAACACCUAUAAUUAAUUCUAAAUAAUUGAUUUCUAAUUUCUUCUUCCUUCAAGUUCCGUGAAAAUAAUUUUCAAAUUAUUUUGAGUUUCUUGUUUAAUAUCGUCCGCUUUUGGUUUGUCCAACAAAAUUGAAGCGCUGUAUCGUGGAAGACAGACGUCCAUUUAAUUCUAUUAGUAAAAAGAUCAACAAUCGCAUCCCUAGUUUCAUUUAAUCUCAUUCUACUUUUUUUUUUUUACAUUUCAAUAAUUUACAAUUUGUACAUUUUUCAUGCGCGUAUCUUAAUUUCAUUGAGUCAAAACUCUAUGACUAUAAGGUAUUUUACACCAAUAAAUCGCAAUUAUAUUGUAUUUGUAGGCACUAUAGAAAUAUAUUUAUACACCAAUAUUUCAAAAACAGUAUCAAUAUUAAGAAAAGUAAACACGAAAUGAAACGGAGAUAAUACAACACUCAUCUUGGGCGAUAAAAUGUCGGAACCGAAUUUAUGCUUUCUUGCUGCUUUAAGAAAUUGUUACCGAAGGUGUUCGAUUUAUGGAAAGUACCCAAAAACCGAUAAAAAGAAAAGAGAAAACUGCCAUAGCCUUAUUCGACGCAAAUCAACCCCGACCCUAACCCAACCCCAUUGCACAUCUUUCCCUUCUUCCGACAAUUGCGAGCUGUAUUUUUCCUUUGCAAAAUCCUAGGUAAACCUCAAAAUAGUACUCAAAUCUUGAUGGAAAACCUGUCAGCUGAUGUUCAUUGCUCGAAAAUGCUGCAACUUUAGGUCACUGGUCAGUCAUUCUUUCUGCACUUGUUAAAAGUCUGAUGCAUCGUUCUACAAUUUCUAUAUCCAUUUUUAACCAUAACCCAUUACCAAGGACUUUGAAAAAUUUGCAAAUUCACUGUCUAAAUUUAGCAAAAUCAUCGUAGAAUCGAAAGGAAGCUGUAUGUUGAAGUCAAUUGUUAGUCCACAUGGAUCUUGUACAAUUGGACUAGGAAAACGAGGACAUGGAAUUCAAUAUGGGUUCUGGGGAAGAAGAAGAAGAGACUGUUUAUGUUUUAGGACAACAACGUCAAUAUGAUGAUAAUUAUAAAAUGACAAUGAAUUAGCCGAAAGGGCUCAGACUUCUCUGUCAAUUUCUAAUGGGAAUGAUGGGGAUUUCCAUCUCGAGCGCUAUGAGGGAAUGGAAUUUGAUUCUGAACAGGCUGGUAGAAUUGCUUACAACUCGUAUGUGCGGAGGGUUGGGUUUAGCACCCGGAGUAGCGUGCAUCAGAGGGAGGAAAUGGUGGGCAAUGGCUGCCCCACCCGAUGUGUUUUCCAUAAUAGCCUUUGACUUAGUUAUUUGUUAAAAAAAAAAAAAGGGAAAAUGUAAACAAAAUGUGUAGGGUCGAAAAUAUCCUCAUUUAGGAAAGAAGAGAAGAUAAAAAAAAAAAGAAAAAAUCUGCUGCGGACCGCUCGACGUCGCCUACGGACUGCCCGGACCUCACCAACUUCGACCAAGACCAGAGCCACCUCGAUUCGCCGGAGACCGUCAUUUUCUUAAAGGUUAGACAUGUUUUUUUAUAAAUAACUAAUUUGAAUUUGUGAAAGUUUGAAUGUUUAGGAUAUGAAUAUGGGUUAAAUUCAUGUGUUUUUAUGGUUAAAAUGUAAGAAAAUAUCGAAUUUGAGGUUAAAAUGUUGAAAAAAAAGUGAAAAAAAGGGACGGAACUUGUCGGAAAAGGAUGGUCUGGUCCGUCACGGACCAAACCGGAUGGUCCGUUACGGACCACCGGACCAGGACCAUAUGGUCUGGGUCCGGAUUGGUCCGGACCAUAUGGCCCGGACCACACCGGACCCGGAUUUGGGUCAAAAAUAAUUUUUUUUUUCAGAAUUAUUGUUUUAUUUUUGUGUUAAGAAAUAAAAUGAAAUAUAAAAUAAAUAAUAUAUUAAGAGAAUUAACGAAAUAUUUAAAGAUAAAUUAAAUUGAGUUUUAAUUUUUUUUCUUUUUUACUUAAAUAUACGUUUCAAAUAAAUAAUCGAAAUAGAGUAAUUAAAUAUGAAAUAAAUAAUAUACAUAAUUAACGAAAUAUUUAAAGAAUAAAUUAAAAAAAACAAUAUUUUUUUUACUUAACGAAUUAAGAUAAUGAAUUAAAAAAAUAGUAAAAGGGAAAAUCGAAAUAAAUAAUUGAAAUAGAGUAAUUAAAUAUGAAAUAAAUAAAACACAUGAUUAACGAAAUAUUAAAAGAAUAAAUUAAAUUGAAUAAUAUUUUUUUUACCUAACCAAUUAAGAUAAUUAAUUAAAGAAAUAGUGAAACGAAAAAUCGAAUAAAUAUUAUUAUUUUUAUUCAAAUAAAUAAUCGAAAUAAAUAAUAUACAUAAUUAACGAAAUAUUUAAAGAAUAAAUUAAAUUGAAUAAUAUUUUUUGUACUUCACCAAUUAAGAUAAUGAAUUAAAGAAAUAGUAAAAGGAAAAAUCGAAUAAAUAUUAUUCAAAUAAAUAAUCGAAAUAGAGUAAUUAAAUAUGAAAUAAAUAAUAUACAUAAUUAACGAAAUAUUUAAAGAAUAAAUUAAAUUGAAUAAUAUUUUUUGUACAUCACCAAUUAAGAUAAUGAAUUAAAGAAAUAGUAAAAGGAAAAAUCAAAUAAAUAUUAUUCAAAUAAAUAAUCGAAAUAGAGUAAUUAAAUAUGAAAUAAAUAAUAUACAUAAUUAACGAAAUAUUUAAAGAAUAAAUUAAAUUGAAUAAUAUUUUUUGUACUUCACCAAUUAAGAUAAUUAAUUAAAGAAAUAGUAAAACGAAAAAUCGAAUAAAUAUUAUUAUUUUUAUUCAAAUAAAUAAUCGAAAUAGAGUAAUUAAAUAUGAAAUAAAUAAUAUACAUAAUUAACAAAAUAUUUAAAAAAUAAAUUAAAAAAACAAUAUUUUUUUUUACUUAACGAAUUAAGAUAAUGAAUUAAAGAAAUAGUAAAAGGAAAAAUCGAAUAAAUAUUAUUCAAAUAAAUAAUCGAAAUAGAGUAAUUAAAUAUGAAAUAAAUAAAACACAUGAUUAACGAAAUAUUUAAAGAAUAAAUUAAAUUGAAUAAUAUUUUUUUCCUAACCAAUUAAGAUAAUUAAUUAAAGAAAUAGUGAAACGAAAAUCAAAUAAAUAUUAUUAUUUUUAUUGAAAUAAAUAAUCGAAAUAGAGUAAUUAAAUAUGAAAUAAUUAAUAUACAUAAUUAACGAAAUAUUUAAAGAAUAAAUUAAAAAAACAAUAUUUUUUUUUUACUUAACGAAUUAAGAUAACGAAUUAAAGAAAUAGUAAAAGGAAAAAUAGAAUAAAUAUUAUUCAAAUAAAUAAUCGAAAUAGAGUAAUUAAAUAUGAAAUAAAUAAAACACGUGAUUAACAAAAUAUUAAAAGAAUAAAUAAAAUUGAAUAAUAUUUUUUACCUAACCAAUUAAGAUAAUUAAUUAAAGAAAUAGUGAAACGAAAAAUCGAAUAAAUAUUAUUAUUUUUAUUCAAAUAAAUAAUCGAAAUAAAUAAUAUACAUAAUUAACGAAAUAUUUAAAGAAUAAAUUAAAAAAAGCAAUAUUUUUUUUUACUUAAAGAACUAAGAUAAUGAAUUAAAGAAAUAGUAAAAGGAAAAAUCGAAUAAAUAUUAUUCAAAUAAAUAAUCGAAAUAGAGUAAUUAAAUAUGAAAUAAAUAAUAUACUUAAUUAAAGAAAUAUUUAAAGAAUAAAUUAAAUUGAAUAAUAUUUUUUGUACUUCAUCAAUUAAGAUAAUUAAUUAAAAAAAUAGUAAAACGAAAAAUCGACACUGUGCAUGUCCCCUUGGGUUGUUCAAAUGUCUUUUGAACUCUUUUGUUUAAUAUCUUGAUUUUUUGAGCAUAUAUCUGAUGUCUGGUUAUAUUUAUAGAAAGAAGGAACCUACAAGGGAAAGAAAUUCAAUGGCAUCUGCCACUUCUUCGGUUAUCAAGCUCGUGGAUCAUUGCCAUCAAAGUUUGAUUGUGACUACGCAUAUGUAUGUUCUGCUUUAGACUUGUUUAGUUAUUAUAGAUUUUCAGGACACUAAAGCAAGGGAUUGGAGGGUAAAAGGGAGUGUUAGGGCUAAUAGCGGAGUUUGGAAGCGCUUCUUUCAGAGAGGAAUAGGAGAGCCUUCAAGGGAGUUGAGAAUCCUUUAUGGAGAUUCCAUCACACUUUCUUUUGUUAUCCUUUCCAAAUUCUAACUAAAUUUGGAUUUAUAGUAAAACAAAUAGCUAAAAGCAACAAUGUUGUUUCAGGUCCUUGGUCAUAUAGGCUACCACAUACUUGCUGCAGGUUUGAAUGGUUAUAUGGCAACUGUAACUAACCUGAAGAACCCUGUGAACAAGUGGCGUUGUGGUGCUGCUCCUAUAACAGUAGGUUCUCUAUUUUUUCAAUAUUUUUUAUUUAUGGCAAGAAUGUGCAUGGAAGAUUAUAAGCUCGAAAGUCAUACUCCUGCACUCUACUCCUUUUUCUUCUUAAAAUAUGAUGUUUCAAUGAGUAUGAAGUUGAACCUGUUUGGUACUUGUUACUUCAGAGCAUGAUGACCGUUAAGCGCUAUGGUCGUGGCCAUGGGGCUGCAACACUGGGAAAACCGGCUCUGCAUCCAGCAGCUGUGGAUUUGAAGGGCAAGUCAUACGGGUAAGCCAUUUCUUUACGCCCGUUCUUACUGUUUUGUCUCAAUGAACUCUGAAACAUGGAUUUCGAAAUCUUAUUGGCACAUCCUCAAUUUUUUUUUUUUUGGUAAAUCUCCUGGGAAAUUUAGUGCCUUUGUCUAAUGGAUUGAGUUAUUCUUUCAACUUGUUUGCUACAGGCUGCUGAGACAAAAUGCAACCAAAUUUUUGAUGGACGACGUCUAUAGAAACCCAGGACCCCUUCAGUUCGAAGGUCCUGGGGCUGAUUCAAAGCCCGUAACCCUGUGUGUUGAGGACCAAGAUUACAUGGGUCGUAUCAAGCAAUUGAAGGAACACCUCGAUAAGGUUGUCUCUUUUCACUGGUCAUUUUCAAAUUUCUGCACUAGAUAAUUAGCGAAUGAACGCUAUUGUCUAUUUUAUUCACUUAAAUAAUGUCAUGUUCCCUUUUUUCUUCUUUUUCCAGGUGCGUUCGAUAGUGAAACCAGGGUGUUCUCAAGAUGUUCUAAAAGCUGCUUUGAGUGCUAUGGCUUCUGUGACUGAUAUUCUGUCCGUGAUAUCCUCACCUUCAAGCGGGAGCACUCCCUACUAAUUAUUCUCACGUCCUUCCUUCGAACUCUUGCACACUAAAUUGGGAUUUUACAGAAUCUGUUCAUCUCUUUUCUCGUUUUGCAUGCGAAUCUUAUGUAGGAUUAAGGAUUAGACUAUGGUAA
RNAcentral lists this long non-coding RNA (9310 nucleotides) under Olea europaea (common olive). Its description in RNAcentral is "long non-coding RNA (OEUR_LNC002397)". The record is from RNAcentral. Lineage: Eukaryota; Viridiplantae; Streptophyta; Magnoliopsida; Lamiales; Oleaceae.